CCUACGGGAGGCAGCAGUAGGGAAUUUUCGGCAAUGGGGGGAACCCUGACCGAGCAACGCCGCGUGAACGAAGAAGUUAUUCGUAAUGUAAAGUUCUUUUAACAGGGACGAAAGAGAAAUUUGACGGUACCUGAAGAAUAAGCUCCGGCUAACUACGUGCCAGCAGCCGCGGUAAUACGUAGGGAGCGAUCGUUGUCCGGAAUUAUUGGGCGAAAAGGGUGCGUAGAUGGCAUAGUAAGUCUUUUGUAAAAAUGCUGGGAUCAAACAAGUAGGGCAAAAGAUACUGCAAAGCUAGAGUAUGACAGAGGCAAGUGGAAUUACAUGUGUAGCGGUAAAAUGCGUAAAUAUAUGUAAGAACACCAGUGGCGAAGGCGGCUUGCUGGGUCGAUACUGACAUUGAGGCACGAAAGCGUGGGGAGCAAACAGGAUUAGAUACCCCAGUAGUC
RNAcentral lists this ribosomal RNA (446 nucleotides) under uncultured bacterium. RNAcentral's name for it is "partial 16S ribosomal RNA". It matches the Rfam family "Bacterial small subunit ribosomal RNA", at positions 338 to 795 of the family's 1533-position model. The record is from RNAcentral.